Molecule: long non-coding RNA, 2542 nt
Organism: Cyprinus carpio (common carp)
Lineage: Eukaryota; Metazoa; Chordata; Actinopteri; Cypriniformes; Cyprinidae
Source: Ensembl
UAGCUUUAUGUAACUUAAAAUGAAAGAAAAAAUGUGAAAAUAAGGCAAAAUAAAUGUAUAAAAAAUAAAGUCAGACUGUUGUACUAGGAGUAUGGGGAUUGAGUUUCUUUAGGAAUUUUGAUUGUAACUAUGGGAAAGCUAUGUGUCAAAUUUAAAAUGACUGAACAGCCUGAAGGUUUGUGCUGAGUUUGGUGGAUAUAGUUUGACCUCAAACCCAAGUUUGUUCAGUGACAGUAUGUUGGCUUUAAUGAGGUGGAUUCCUCAAGGAAUGUAUUCUGAGAAGAACUUCUUAUUCUCUGGCAAAACACAUUUUCCAACAUCUCCCACUAUCUCUCCCUCUCUCUCUCUCUCUCUAUACACACACAAAGGUUUUCUCCGAAGUCUUUCCCCUCCCUCCUCUGGCGAUCCGUCACCCCUCCUCCAGCUGCUGAUGGUCCUGCUGUAGGCAGUCUGCUCGUUCUCCUCAGUGUGAGGACAGCACACGCUCCUUCACAACCAGCCUCUUUCUCUCUCACACACUCCUGUACUAUUCUGACAAUAUUGGAUAUACUCCAAGCAGCACACCUUUGUGGAGCAUUUGAACUAACUGAGCACUUGAUUCAGGAGAAAGAAGAUCAGUCAGCACUAAGGUAUGAGGUGUGUUUGAAUAAGCCAACAAGGAGGGGUUUCUUCUUCUUGAUACUGAAAACUACUGAAGAUUUGGACGUCCACCAUGAGUCUUAAAAGGAGGAAACCAAGCAUGGCGUUCAGCUGGCACAAGUCUUUCACCAUCCUUGCCCCGUGGAGAAAAGGUAAAGGGGAUAUUGUUUUGGAUAAUGAUGUUGUACUGACAAAAAUGAAGCUCCUCAACAAUGUCCCUGAGAAACUGCUUAAUGCUGAGGAUUCCAUUUCAACCAUCUCCAUUUCAAUGUCUGAGCAGGACAACACAGAACCUCUCCAAGCUGAUGAGGUGAUCUCUGUCCAAAGCACUGCUCCUGAGACCACUGUCCCUGAAUCAAAAACAGACUAUCUAUCUUCUAUUUUUGCAGAUUCUGAACUUCCAAGAUUGUAUAAAUUUGAAUCUGAGGACUCUGGAGUAGAAAUGACUAGUGGGGCAACUUCUCCAUCCACCCCAACUGGUUCAGAGCAAAGCUUUGUGGUCCACAGUAGGGAGUCUUCAUGUGACUCUGGCAACCUGAACUCUCUUGUACCUGCUGACAAUCUUCUUGAAGACAGUUCAGUCUUCUUAGAAACUGAACAAACGUCUUGUAAGUGUGCUAAACAAGACACUCUUACCAUCCUGGGAGACAGAACAGAGGAAGAGAAUGUUGAUGAUGAUUUAAUAGAUUCAGAGAGGUCUGAGGACAGAACCCUGAGGAAUACCAUGGAGAACUGUAAAGAUACCAUUGAAAUCAUGGCAGCACAGGAGGAAAUAACAGACACUACAAUGGCUGAGGACACAAUGUCAAGCAGCCAGUGUUCUAUAGAAGCUUAUGAUGGCAAAACAGGACCUGAAUUUCAGCAACGGCCUUUGAGGAAAAGUACAACCAGCGACAGUCUGGAUGAGUACAUGGAAGAGUGCUGCAGGCUAAGUGAGGUGAACCAAGCCAAUCGGUCCAACCCUCUGGGCUCAGGACUGGGGUACCUAGAGCACAUCUGCCAGCUCAUAGAGAAGAUCGGACAGCUACAGGAACACAACCUUCGACUACAGAAACAGAUCUGUGGCCUGCAGAAGGAAGGCAGAGUGAUCAAGACUAAAGAGAACAAGAUGGUGCAUCUGGCUUGAAUGUUAUCAGCCCUAAACCACAGGAAAAAUAUCAACAUGUUUUACAAUGUUUUGUGAAGUCAUGGGUGUUUUUCUAACAUGGCCUUUGUUUUUCCCUUUGGAUUUGAACUGCUCCAAAAUUAGAAAUUCCAAAAUGUUGAGGCUAAAGGGAACUUAUCUUUGUUAAAAGCGGAUACAGGUUAGAAAAUGUGUGCAUACCUCAUUUCCAUUAAAGUUCACGGAAAAUGUCCUCAAACUCAAGUUGUUUAUCUAAAGUUAUGUAUUGUCAUAUAAAAUCACUAUUAAAAAAUGCUUUUUUUAAGAACUGCUCACUGAAAGUUUCUUUGGAGAACCAAGAAUAGUUCUUAUAUUGCACUGCACUUGCACAAAUUUCUUUUUGGAAUCUUUAUUUUUAAUAUCAUUUUUGGAACCUAUAUUUUAAGUAAUGCAGCUGUCCAUGUGCCCAUCUUCUACCCCAGUUCUCCCGCUGCUCUAGACCUUUGCUUUCUGACUAAAGGCCGUGGAAUUAUAUUGUGUAGACAUCUUCCUGGCCUCUGUGCUGUUGAAUGAGAACAGUUCUGUUCAUGGUUUUUCAGAGAGUCAUCUCUAAACUGCCUCUGUCAGUUCGGGCCCUGGGGCCGGAAAAGACUUCCACGGUCACAGUGAGUGAGCUCAGUGGGAGCCUGCACUUCAAAGUUAUCAAAGAAAGCAAGAGAGAAAGACAGGCAAAAGAAAGGAGGACAUUUUAAAAAGGUUCUUCUUUACAGAAACCAAACAUAGGUUCUGAAUAAGAACUGA